UUCUUUAAGAAACAAUUAUUUAAAGUAAAACCUGCUCCAUGAUCAAGUUUAAAUAGCCGCAGUUUCACUGUGCUAAGGUAGCAUAAUCACUAGCUUUUCAAUUGAAAGAUAGAAUGAAAGGUUAAACGAAAUAUCAAUUGUUUCAAUCUAUUCUAUACAAAAUUAGUUAUAAAGUUAAAAAAUCUUUUAAUAAAUAAGAAAGACGACAAGACCCUAAUAAACUUAAUAUUUAACUGGGGCAGUUAUAAAAAUAUACUUUAAGCUACAAAUAUAUACUAAUCUAAUCUAAUUAAUAACGGAAAGUUACUAUAGGGAUAACAGCGCAAUUUUUCUCUAAAGCUCAAAUAAAAAGAAAAAAUUACGACCUCGAUGUUGAAUUAAUUAAUCUAUUCAAAAUUAACGCAAAAGUUAAAUAAGAAAGUCUGUUCGACUAUGAAACAAUU
This 443-nucleotide ribosomal RNA is filed under the name Aymaria sp. Br16-188. RNAcentral describes it as "partial 16S ribosomal RNA". Lineage: Eukaryota; Metazoa; Arthropoda; Arachnida; Araneae; Pholcidae. The record is from RNAcentral.